Long non-coding RNA from Cannabis sativa, 828 nucleotides. RefSeq lists it as uncharacterized. The record is from RefSeq and is a predicted model, not a curated record. The transcript is spliced from 2 exons. NCBI's taxonomy places the organism in Eukaryota, Viridiplantae, Streptophyta, Magnoliopsida, Rosales, Cannabaceae.
UUGGAUACCCAUAAUCAUAUUCAGCUUCUCCCUCUUAAUUUCUCCACACGAUUUCAAGAUUGAUCUUUCCAUCAUCUCAACUUCCUCCCCACAAUUUCUUACAUGUUUUGUUGUUCUUCUACAAUUUUCUAUAUGCAAUAACUCCCUCAUCAUCUUCUCCAUUCUUGCUGCAAAAAUAAAAUAAAAUUCUUGUUAAACAUCCAAAAGCUCCAGAUAUGGGUGUCAAAUCGGAUGGAAAAAAAAAAGAAAAAGGAAAAAAAAAAAAAAGUUAGAUGAAAAUAAUUUUGUUGCGCUCUUACCUAAACAGAGGAAGGAUUCUGGUUGAUUUCUGAUGGUAAAAUGGGAAAGAAACAAGUUGCUGCUCAUUUGAAUGAGUAAUUGUAGUGCUUUUGUUGCUGCAUUUGCUGAGUUCUUUAUACAUGGAAAAGAUAUUCCACUAGAUUUUGAUAUCGGAGCUUAUCGCACGAGGCUUGUUAUGCUUUUGUUUGUAUAUGAUAAAAGGAAAAAUGAAAAAAAUAUUGAUAGUAAGUAUGAGAAGCCUUAGAAGUUUAUGAAGAUUGUUCAAGGAAAGAACAAGAGUCUGUUGAUUGGGAGCUGAUUUCUAUAACAUGUUGAAUGUUAUUAUUUAUUUAAUUGUUUGUUUUUUUAAUGCUAGAUGUUAGGACUUGGUUAUUCAUGUUAUAGUUCUAUUGUUGUUUUUUCUUUUUAUUUAUGAACUGGAUAUCAGAUUGUUAUCGAUUUUCGAGACAAUAUAUAAUUUUGAGUUAUAAUGCAUAUGUUUUUGUGCGACUUUCUUGUUUAUGCUGAUAUAUAAAAUAUUUGAUUCAA